AGGUUCCUCCUUGGCUUCUCUUUUUUCAUCACCUCUGUCUCUACUAUAUAAAUAUAAAUCUUAAUAUCAUGCUUUCAUUCAUUGUGUUUCGUCUAAUUGUUUGGAACUCAACGUAUCAAAAUACUCACUUUAAGAGUUACAAAAAAAUACUUACUUUUUAAAUUUAUUUUUGAACAGAGAACUUGGGAGAGGAUGGUGUCAACUUUUACGCUUUGGGCUGUGAGUCACAGACUGUAACGUUGUGGGCCAGAUAAAAAAGAGAAAAUGGAUGACGUGUUAGAGCUACACCAGUGUCGAAGAUCUGAAAAAAAGUUUCCAUGGCCACCGCUUCUGUCGUAUAUGACUCAGUGAACCUCUCCACUUAUCUGUUACACUUGGUAAACCUUCCACCCUAUUGAUUCAUCUGCUUGAAGAUGUUUCAUCAUCGUUGCUCACUGAAAGCAGCAGCAACAACUACCUUGAUUUGAUAAAGUGACAUAGCGGUUUGUGGAGGAAGCACUACAAGAGCACGGAGGAGAGAAGAGGAUAUUUCCAAACGCAAGAAGGUGAUUCUGAAAAAAAAAAGAGAAAGUCUGUUCUUCAGUUGUCUACGAGAUGAUUUUUGCUUUUAGCUGCAAGCAAAUAAUGAAAGUAUGAUUCUGUACUCAGAAGUCAAAAGGCUGGACUUAUCCACUCUUCUUACAAUUUAAACUGCAUCUGAAUAAGAUUUGUUGUUUUAGCUACACCUUACAUCUCUGAAUAACUCUUCUAAAACUGUACGAUAUUUUUGUUUUAAAAGCCUUGCCAACCUUCUUGGUUGUGAAAUGUUUUAGAUCAUUUGGAGGAGUAAUAAAGUUUAUAUGUUAUCACAAAUCACAUAUAUAGAUUGAAUAAAAGCAACACAGGCAGAGAUAAACAUUGGCAUGCCAACGUAUGCACCACAAAAAGAACUAUUAAGUUAUCAUCAUAUCAAAAUCUAGGUGGCAUUAAGCACAGCCUAUCAAAAAAAAAAUUUUAAAUACAGUGUGUUAAUGUUAUCGGCUAAAAAAAACUAUAAACAAAAACCGAGCUUGCGCAUUAAGAUAGUUAUCGUAAUUAAAUCCGAACACCCUUGUGAGUGAGAGUUUCAAAGUUAUCAAACUGUCAACCCCUAGGAUAUUAACUAUUCCGUGCGCAGGGUGAAUUAAUUUGACAAAUAUUUAAAAAUAUAGUAUUAAAAAUUUUAUUUUUAACAUUUGAUUAACUUUUUUACACAUAUAUAAUUAUAUUUUUUGUUGUUAUAAUAUAAGUUCUGCCGGAUGGACCGAAUCCAUAAUUAUUAUAAAUUGUGGACCUAAACAAUAAGUAUUAUAUCAUGGACCGAUCAGUUUGGGCCUAAAAACUUAUGACACAAAAACCUUAUACUUUUUUCCAUCAAACAUAUUCUUCUUCUUAUCAAAUUUAAUCUCAAAACUGAAUUAGGUUAAUAGAUGCAAUAGACACUUGCGCUUCAAUUUAUGUAAGGAGCCUUUGGUACACUGAGCGAUUGCUAAUAAGAGUUGUCAUUAAACAACACAUACAACAUUCUCUUAUUAUACACGGUUAAACAAUACGAAAAUUCUAUAAGUUGUCCACUAGCUUUGGCAUUGUAUCCCAAUUAUUCAGUGCAUACCAUAUUUUCUAAAGAAUUUAAAAUAUAAGUUUAUUACGAUUUAAAAGGCUAUUUCUAAAUAAAAUACGAAAAAUAUAAGUAUGACAACUUUAAAAAUAAAUCAUCCCAAAUGAAGCAUAAAAUGAUUGUUCCAAAAUAUAAAGUAAACUAAAAAUCUCUAACUCUCGAACCGCAAGAACAAAACGCCGUAACAAAAAUGUUGUAAUAAUGUAAAAUUGUAAAUAUAUAGAUCAGCAAUGACCCGUGUUAAUACUUUUUAUUCUUCAUAGGAUAUGUCAUAAGCAAAUCAUAUGGAAUUAUGCUUACAUUGACUUGAAGUAUUGUAUCUCUGGAAUUUUGGGAUCAAAUAAAAUUUGAGGACAUUCUAUAUGUUUGAAGCAAUCUAUAUAAGAAAUAGAUGUCCACAUAUCAUAACACUCCCAAUUGAAUCGAUUAGGACCAUCUCAGUAGUAAGACCACCUGCAAAAGAAUAUUGUUUCUAAAGUUAUAUGAUCUUCGCCUUGAUCUUCCACAUGGAUUGAGUGGUUCCAAGUCACACGCAAGGCUAAAAGCGGCCGUUGGAAGUCAAGGAGCAAUAUAUUUUUCUAGGUUAUUCAAUUUUUGGUAGUUGUAAUCACAAUGAACUUCCCAUAUGCUUCUUAAUUUCUUAUAUAGAAUACAUUAUAUAUUUUAUGAGAAAGAUAUUAUGAGUGCCUAGCAAGUUUUCGAGAAAGAUAAUGCAAGUUUCUGUAUUACAGAAUAGUAUUUAAUAGAUAAUGCAAGUUUCUGUAUUACAGAAUAUUGUAAGGGAAAUAUGCGACCAACGUUAUAUUUUAAAACUAUGGUUUAUAUAAGGUGCUCUAGAAUUAUUUUAAAUAGGAUUUAGUAGGCAUACACAACUGCCACAUAAGAUGAGGUUUUUUUUUAAUUAAUACAAACUUAAGGUUCUUAUUUUUUAAGAGAUUCUCAAUUAAUAUAUAGGGAAAGUCAGGGUUAACGUAAACUUCCGUAUUCAGGUUAACAAAAUGCACAACUGCAUGUUUACAUAGUAAAUCCUACCUCACAUAACCAUACAAAACACGAAUACCUUGCAUUAACAGCCGCUCUUAUACGUUCAUUAUAAUAAAAUUGAUCACGUAUAAUUCUAUGUUUCUACUUUAUCCAAUAAAACCACACAUUAUAUGGUUUUUCCUUCAUCAACAAUAUAUGAAACUUUUAUUCUCUAUUCUAGACCACUACGACUAUACCAAACAAAACACUAGAGCCCACCUCUUAUACCAUUUUUAAACUAUAAUAACGUAUGCAUUUUUUAAUAUUAGAAAGCAAUUCUCUGUAAUUAAAGAAUAAUGCAAUAAAAAA
Brassica rapa (field mustard) is the source of this 2968-nucleotide long non-coding RNA. RefSeq lists it as uncharacterized. The record is from RefSeq and is a predicted model, not a curated record. NCBI's taxonomy places the organism in Eukaryota, Viridiplantae, Streptophyta, Magnoliopsida, Brassicales, Brassicaceae.